GAUGAACGCUGGCGGCGUGCCUAACACAUGCAAGUCGAGCGGCAGCGAGGGGUGCUUGCACCCUGUCGGCGAGCGGCGGACGGCUGAGUAACGCGUGGGAACGUGCCCCAAAGUGAGGAAUAACUGCCCGAAAGGGUAGCUAAUACCGCAUAUUAUCUUCGGAUCAAAGGAUUUAUCCGCUUUGGUAGCGGCUCGCGUCGGAUUAGGUAGUUGGUGAGGUAAUUGCUCACCAAGCCGACGAUCCGUAGCUGGUCGGAUAGGAUGACCAGCCAGACUGGAACUGAGACACGGUCCAGAAUCCUACGGGAGGGAGCAGUGAGGAAUCUUCCACAAUGGGCGAAAGCCUGAUGGCGCAACGCCGCGUGCAGGACGAAGGCCUUCGGGUUGUAAACUGCUUUUAUAAGUGAGGAAUAUGACGGUAACUGAUGAAUAAGGAGCGGCUAACUACGUG
Molecule: ribosomal RNA, 451 nt
Filed under: uncultured bacterium
Lineage: Bacteria
Description: partial 16S ribosomal RNA
Rfam family: Bacterial small subunit ribosomal RNA
Source: RNAcentral